AGAGUUUGAUCCUGGCUCAGAAUGAACGUUGGCGGCGUGGAUUAGGCAUGCAAGUCGCGCGCGAUAGAUUUGGUGGUAACAUUAGAUCUUGAAAGCGGCGAAAGGGAGAGUAACGCGUGGAUAUCUGCCCUUGGCUCCAGGAUAGCUACGGGAAACUGUAGGUAAUACUGGAUAAUAUCUCCGGAUCAAAGGUGUGAUUCCGGCCGAGGAUGAGUCCGCGUCCUAUUAGGUUGUUGGCGGGGUAAUGGCUCACCAAGCCAAAGAUGGGUACCGGGUGUGAGAGCAUGGCCCGGCUCACUGGGACUGAGACACUGCCCAGACGUCUACGGAUGGCUGCAGUCGAGAAUCUUCCGCAAUGGACGAAAGUCUGACGGAGCGACGCCGCGUGCGGGAUGAAGGCCUUCGGGUUGUAAACCGCUGUCAGUUGGGAGGAAGUGCUAUAGGGUUCUCUCUAUAGCUUGACCGAUCUUCAGAGGAAGUACGGGCUAAGUACGUGCCAGCAGCCGCGGUAAUACGUACCGUACGAACGUUAUUCGGAAUCACUGGGCUUAAAGAGUCCGUAGGCGGCUUUAAAGGUGAGGUGUGAAAUCCCACGGCUUAACUGUGGGACUGCGCUUCAAACCAUAAGGCUCGAGGGAGAUAGAGGAAAGCGGAACUGAUGGUGGAGCGGUGAAAUGCGUUGAUAUCAUCAGGAACACCGGUGGCGAAAGCGGCUUUCUGGGUCUCUUCUGACGCUGAGGGACGAAAGCUAGGGGAGCGAACGGGAUUAGAUACCCUGGUAGUCC
This 785-nucleotide ribosomal RNA is filed under the name uncultured bacterium. RNAcentral's name for it is "bacterial SSU rRNA". It matches the Rfam family "Bacterial small subunit ribosomal RNA", at positions 8 to 796 of the family's 1533-position model. The record is from RNAcentral.